AGUACGAGAGGACCGGGUCGUACGUACCGCUGGUGUAUCUGUUGUGCCGCCAGGUGCAGCGCAGAGUAGCUAUGUACGGACAGGAUAAACGCUGAAAGCAUCUAAGCGUGAAACCUUCCACGAGAUGAGUUUUCUUUUAAGGGUCGUCAAAGACUAUGACGUUGAUAGGCUAUAGGUGUAAAGGUGGCAACAUCAAAGCCGAGUAGUACUAAUUGCCCGUACGCUUUAAUUUUUUU
This 236-nucleotide ribosomal RNA is filed under the name Sphingobacteriales bacterium. Its description in RNAcentral is "partial 23S ribosomal RNA". It matches the Rfam family "Bacterial large subunit ribosomal RNA", at positions 2680 to 2925 of the family's 2925-position model. Lineage: Bacteria; Pseudomonadati; Bacteroidota; Sphingobacteriia; Sphingobacteriales. The record is from RNAcentral.